This 346-nucleotide unclassified non-coding RNA is filed under the name soil metagenome. RNAcentral's name for it is "partial contains 5.8S ribosomal RNA, internal transcribed spacer 2, and large subunit ribosomal RNA". The stretch from base 1 to 120 matches the Rfam family "5.8S ribosomal RNA", at positions 35 to 154 of the family's 154-position model. The record is from RNAcentral.
GAUGAAGAACGUAGCGAAAUGCGAUAAGUAAUGUGAAUUGCAGAAUUCAGUGAAUCAUCGAGUCUUUGAACGCACAUUGCGCCCCCUGGUAUUCCGGGGGGCAUGCCUGUCCGAGCGUCAUUGCUGCCCUCAAGCACGGCUUGUGUGUUGGGCCCCCGCCCCCCGGCUUCGGGGGGCGGGCCCGAAAGGCAGCGGCGGCACCGCGUCCGGUCCUCGAGCGUAUGGGGCUUCGUCACCCGCUCUGUAGGCCCGGCCGGCGCCCGCCGGCGACCCCAAUCAAUCUUUCCAGGUUGACCUCGGAUCAGGUAGGGAUACCCGCUGAACUUAAGCAUAUCAAUAACGAGGA